RNAcentral lists this transfer RNA (71 nucleotides) under Firmicutes bacterium CAG:424. It matches the Rfam family "tRNA". From Rfam's summary of the family: Transfer RNA (tRNA) molecules are approximately 80 nucleotides in length. Their secondary structure includes four short double-helical elements and three loops (D, anti-codon, and T loops). Lineage: Bacteria; Bacillati; Bacillota. The record is from Rfam by way of RNAcentral.
AGGAGAAUGAUGUAAUGGCAGCAUAGUGGUCUCCAAAACCGUCAAUAAAGGUUCGAAUCCUUUUUCUCCUG